GGAGACGUGCCAGAGAGGCCGAAUGGGCAUCACUGCUAAUGAUGUAGGGGUUAACGCCCCUCGAGGGUUCGAAUCCCUCCGUCUCCG
Molecule: transfer RNA, 87 nt
Filed under: Minisyncoccota bacterium
Lineage: Bacteria; Bacillati; Minisyncoccota
Description: tRNA-Ser
Rfam family: tRNA
About the family: Transfer RNA (tRNA) molecules are approximately 80 nucleotides in length.
Source: RNAcentral